Raphanus sativus (radish) is the source of this 795-nucleotide long non-coding RNA. RefSeq lists it as uncharacterized. Lineage: Eukaryota; Viridiplantae; Streptophyta; Magnoliopsida; Brassicales; Brassicaceae. The transcript has 3 exons. The record is from RefSeq and is a predicted model, not a curated record.
GUGCACCUACUUAUGAAUCAUUGAAAAAGCUAGAGUAAAUACAACUCAUCGAUAUAGAAUCCCUUCGUCUAUAUUCUCAGUUGCCUCUGCUCAUCAGACGCACUCUUAAACCAGAAACAUUGCCUGGUAUGUAUGAAGUGGCUUUCAUUAAAAUACAAGAAGCUUCUGUUAUGAAUUUAUGAUUAUAUGCAGUCUGUGUACAGAGAUGACCAGAGAAAGACUUAGACCAGAGCUCAUAAAUCACUAACUCUCUAUGUCUUUGCGUAUGCAGGAGGAUAGGUGAAAAGGAAGAUGAUAAAGUUCCAAAAGGGACUGAUAUCUUCAUUUCCAUCUACAUACUUAUGGGAUGACCCACAAUAGUUUGAGCCUCAGAGGUUCUUAAGAACAAAGGAGAGAAAUGGUAUUGAAGGCUGGGCUGGCUUUGAUCCCUCUUGAACCCUGGUGCACUUUUUAUGAUUAGAGAGCAGAGAAACAUAGAGAUGGUGAUGAGGUUUAUGCCUGAUAACUUGGAGAACUACCUCUCGGAUCUUUUACAUGUAACACCAACACUUAGUGGCUCUUCUUCUGCAUCUUCUUCCAUAUGUAUCUCAGUUGGAUGUGGAGGAAUCUAAAGUUCAUAGAGCAUUGUCUAGCUUCUUCACUCGAAUGGAUGUAAAUUUUCAAUUCUGUAUAAUCAAACAUUAAUUUCUUAUGUCGCGGAAACCGGUUAUACCGGGUCUUUGGUGUAUUUUUAAAUCAUAGUUUGGUAACCCCCUGCUUGAGAUGCAAACAAUUUUAAUAUUUUACAAUUGUCAA